AGCAGCCGCGGUAAUUCCAGCUCCAAUAGCGUAUAUUAAAGUUGUUGCAGUUAAAAAGCUCGUAGUUGAAUUUCGGGAUCAUCAGGUUGGUCGUGCCUCUGGUAUGUACUGAUUUCGAUGGUUCCUCCUUCUUGAAGAACCGUAAUGCCAUUAAUUUGGUGUUGCGGGGAAACAGGACUGUUACUUUGAAAAAAUUAGAGUGUUUAAAGCAGGCAAUCGCUUGAAUACAUUAGCAUGGAAUAAUGAAAUAGGACGUUCGAUCCUAUUUUGUUGGUUUCUAGGAUUGACGUAAUGAUUAAUAGGGAUAGUUGGGGGCAUUAGUAUUCAAUUGUCAGAGGUGAAAUUCUUGGAUUUAUUGAAGACUAACUACUGCGAGAGCAUUUGCCAAGGAUGUUUUCAUUAAUCAAGAACGAAAGUUAGGGGAUCGAAGACGAUCAGAUACCGUCGUAGUCUUAACCAUAAACUAUGCCGACUAGGGAUCGGAUGAUGUUAAUUUUUAAUGA
This 503-nucleotide ribosomal RNA is filed under the name uncultured Glomus. Its description in RNAcentral is "SSU rRNA". It matches the Rfam family "Eukaryotic small subunit ribosomal RNA", at positions 569 to 1074 of the family's 1831-position model. Lineage: Eukaryota; Fungi; Glomeromycota; Glomeromycetes; Glomerales; Glomeraceae. The record is from RNAcentral.